CCUCCUUUUCUUGGCGGGGACUGGGUGUGUGGUCCCACUUCCCAUUAUGCAUGGAGGCAGAAGGAAAGGGCUCCGUCCCUCUUGGUGCCAUGUCUUCGGUGCCAGGGGCUUCCUGUUCUCUGGGUCUAUCCUCAAACGCCAUGACACAG
This is a small nucleolar RNA of Castor canadensis (American beaver), 149 nucleotides long. NCBI's taxonomy places the organism in Eukaryota, Metazoa, Chordata, Mammalia, Rodentia, Castoridae. The record is from Ensembl.